Non-coding RNA from Ixodes scapularis (black-legged tick), 73 nucleotides. Lineage: Eukaryota; Metazoa; Arthropoda; Arachnida; Ixodida; Ixodidae. The record is from Rfam.
CCCUGGUUAGCUCAGUUGGUAGAGCGCUCCACCUGUAAUGGAGAGGUCCCAGGUUCGAUACCCGGACCAGGCG